This 799-nucleotide ribosomal RNA is filed under the name uncultured prasinophyte. Its description in RNAcentral is "SSU rRNA". It matches the Rfam family "Eukaryotic small subunit ribosomal RNA", at positions 637 to 1463 of the family's 1831-position model. Lineage: Eukaryota; Viridiplantae; Chlorophyta. The record is from RNAcentral.
GAUUCCGGUAGGGGGCGCCGGUCCGCUUCGGUGUGCACUGGCGGCCCAUACCUUCUUGUCCGGGAUACCUUUUUUUCUGGUAUUUGUUUACCGGACGUAGAGUCGGCGCUGUUACUUUGAAAAAAUUAGAGUGUUCAAAGCAGGCUUUCGCUCCAAUACAUUAGCAUGGAAUAACAUGAUAGGACUCCGGUUCCAUUGUGUUGGUCUUCGGGACUGGAGUAAUGACUAAGAGGGACAGUUGGGGGCAUUCGUAUUUCAUUGUCAGAGGUGAAAUUCUUGGAUUUAUGAAAGACGAACUUCUGCGAAAGCAUUUGCCAAGGAUGUUUUCAUUAAUCAAGAACGAAAGUUGGGGGCUCGAAGAUGAUUAGAUACCAUCGUAGUCUCAACCAUAACCGAUGCCGACUAGGGAUUGGCGGAUGUUACUUGAUGACUUCGCCAGCACCUUGUGAGAAAUCAAAGUCUUUGGGUUCCGGGGGGAGUAUGGUCGCAAGGCUGAAACUUAAGGGAAUUGACGGAAGGGCACCACCAUGGUGUGGAGCCUGCGGCUUAAUUUGACUCAACACGGGGAAACUUACCAGGUCCGGACACAAUAAUGAUUGACAGAUUGAUAGCUCUUUCUUGAUUCUGUGGGUGGUGGUGCAUGGCCGUUCUUAGUUGGUGGAUUGAUUUGUCUGGUUAAUUCCGUUAACGAACGAGACCUCAGCCUGGCUAAAUAGUUCCGCGAACCUUGGUUCGAGGAGGACUUCUUAGAGGGACUAUGGAUGUUUAAUCCAUGGAAGUUUGAGGCAAUAACAGGUUC